CCAACAGCGUAUAUUAAAGUUGCUGCAGUUAAAAAGCUCGUAGUUGAAUUUCGGGACCAAUAUGUUGGUCGUGCUUUUGUACGUACUGAUAUAAUUGGUUUCUCCCUUCUGAAGAACCUUGAUGUCAUUAAUUUGGUGUCUUGGGGAAUCAGGACUGUUACUUUGAAAAAAUUAGAGUGUUUAAAGCAGGCUCGCGCUUGAAUACAUUAGCAUGGAAUACUGAAAUAGGACUUUUGAUUCUAUUUUGUUGGUUUCUAGGAUCGACGUAAUGAUUAAUAGGGAUAGUUGGGGGCAUUAGUAUUCAAUUGUCAGAGGUGAAAUUCUUGGAUUUAUUGAAGACUAACUACUGCGAAAGCAUUUGCCAAGGAUGUUUUCAUUAAUCAAGAACGAAAGUUAGGGGAUCGAAGACGAUCAGAUACCGUCGUAGUCUUAACCAUAAACUAUGCCGACUAGGGAUCGGAUGAUGUUAAUUUUUUAAUGACUCAUUCGGCGCCUUACG
This 499-nucleotide unclassified non-coding RNA is filed under the name uncultured Glomus. RNAcentral's name for it is "SSU rRNA". It matches the Rfam family "Eukaryotic small subunit ribosomal RNA", at positions 591 to 1092 of the family's 1831-position model. Lineage: Eukaryota; Fungi; Glomeromycota; Glomeromycetes; Glomerales; Glomeraceae. The record is from RNAcentral.